CUACCUGCUAGACAUUCUGGAGGCCUCCUAACUGGUUGAUCUGCUGCUGCCCUUUUGGCCCAAACUUAUAGCUGUCAACAACGGAGCCCCAUUCAGACCAGGUGGGCCCUGCUGCCAGUCGGAGAGACUCAGAAUUUCAGGCGGAGCCGUAUUGAAUCCAGACGGACACACGCAUAUAGAUGAGCAGACAAACACAAAGACCCGUCCUCCACUGCUACGAUAACCGGAAAUCGGAAUUGGUAAAACAGAGAAUAGAAUGGCAUCAUCGGUUUAAAAGGGGAUUUUUGGAUGAACGCGGUAUACACAUGAUCAUGCAAAACACAGGUUCAAGAUACAGUUGGCAAACCGAUGUGAUUUCGAUAAUCUUGGAGGCAUGAAGGAAAUUAUUUCCUUAGAUCAUGGCUGAAAAUUUUGGUGACCGAGUAUACUGGUAUCGUGACACAUAAUUUUUUACAAUUGGACACCUCAAUCUCCGUUCUUUAAAUACUAGAUUUCAUGACC
This 501-nucleotide long non-coding RNA is filed under the name Anthonomus grandis grandis. RNAcentral's name for it is "uncharacterized LOC126737002". Lineage: Eukaryota; Metazoa; Arthropoda; Insecta; Coleoptera; Curculionidae. The record is from RNAcentral.